This 318-nucleotide ribosomal RNA is filed under the name uncultured eukaryote. RNAcentral's name for it is "partial 18S ribosomal RNA". It matches the Rfam family "Eukaryotic small subunit ribosomal RNA", at positions 1470 to 1796 of the family's 1831-position model. The record is from RNAcentral.
CCCUUAGAUGUCCUGGGCUGCACGUGCGCUACACUGACACAUUCAACGAGUUUCCUUGUCCGAAAGGAUUGGGUAAUCUUCGCAAAGUGUGUCGUGCUGGGGAUAGAUUAUUGCAAUUAUUAAUCUUGAACGAGGAAUUCCUAGUAAGUGCAAGUCAUCAGCUUGCGCUGAUUACGUCCCUGCCCUUUGUACACACCGCCCGUCGCUCCUACCGAUUGAAUGGUCCGGUGAAAUCUCGGGACGGCGGCUUGGUCGCUUGCGUCCGACUGCUGAAACUUGAUUAAACCAUAUCAUUUAGAGGAAGGUGAAGUCGUAACA